RNAcentral lists this unclassified non-coding RNA (332 nucleotides) under soil metagenome. RNAcentral describes it as "partial contains 5.8S ribosomal RNA, internal transcribed spacer 2, and large subunit ribosomal RNA". The stretch from base 1 to 120 matches the Rfam family "5.8S ribosomal RNA", at positions 35 to 154 of the family's 154-position model. The record is from RNAcentral.
GAUGAAGAACGUAGCGAAAUGCGAUAAGUAAUGUGAAUUGCAGAAUUCAGUGAAUCAUCGAAUCUUUGAACGCACAUUGCGCCCGCCAGUAUUCUGGCGGGCAUGCCUGUCCGAGCGUCAUUUCAACCAUCAAGCCCCGGGCUUGUGUUGGGGACCUGCGUCCGACGCAGGCCCUGAAAACCAGUGGCGGGCUCGCUGUCCACACCGAGCGUAGUAACUAACCUCGCUAUGGAGUGGCGCGGUCGCCUGCCGUAAAACCCCCAAUUUCACAAGGUUGACCUCGGAUCAGGUAGGAAUACCCGCUGAACUUAAGCAUAUCAAUAAGCGGAGGA